GGGGAAUAUUGGACAAUGGGCGCAAGCCUGAUCCAGCCAUGCCGCGUGAGUGAUGAAGGUCUUCGGAUUGUAAAACUCUUUCGCCGGGGAAGAUAAUGACGGUACCCGGAGAAGAAGCUCCGGCUAACUUCGUGCCAGCAGCCGCGGUAAUACGAAGGGAGCUAGCGUUGUUCGGAAUUACUGGGCGUAAAGCGCACGUAGGCGGAUUUUUAAGUCAGGGGUGAAAUCCCAAGGCUCAACCUUGGAACUGCCUUUGAUACUGGAAGUCUCGAGAUCGGGAGAGGUGAGUGGAAUUCCUAGUGUAGAGGUGAAAUUCGUAGAUAUUAGGAAGAACACCAGUGGCGAAGGCGGCUCACUGGCCCGAUACUGACGCUGAGGUGCGAAAGCGUGGGGAGCAAAC
Molecule: ribosomal RNA, 400 nt
Filed under: uncultured bacterium
Lineage: Bacteria
Description: bacterial SSU rRNA
Rfam family: Bacterial small subunit ribosomal RNA
Source: RNAcentral